RNAcentral lists this ribosomal RNA (501 nucleotides) under Nesophrosyne sp. 174 GMB-2012. Its description in RNAcentral is "partial 16S ribosomal RNA". Lineage: Eukaryota; Metazoa; Arthropoda; Insecta; Hemiptera; Cicadellidae. The record is from RNAcentral.
UAAGAAUUUAAAAGUCGAACAGACUUAUAUGUUAAGAAUUCUGCUUCUUAAAAUAUUCUUAAUUCAACAUCGAGGUCGCAAAAUUUAAUAUAGAUAAGAACUCCCCAUUAAAAUUACGCUGUUAUCCCUAAGGUAACUUAGUCUUAUUUCCCAUUACUCAGGAUCUAAAUUUACAUAAAUAAAUGAUUUAAUGAACUAAAGUCUAAAUUUAGCUACCACCCCAGCAAAAUAUAAAAAAUUAUUAUAAAAUAUUUGACUUAAAUAAAAUAAUAAAUAUAUAUAUAAAGUUCUAUAGGGUCUUAUCGUCCCAAUAAAAAAAUAAAGCAUUUUAACUUUAAAUUUAAAUUUUAAUAUUUUAAGAAAUAAAAUAUAUUUCUCAUUUAUCCUUUCAUGCCAGCCUCCAAUUAAAAGACUAAUUACUAUGCUACCUUUGCACAGUCAAAAUACUGCAGCCAUUUAGCUGUUAACCAUUGGGCAGAAAAUACUUUUUAUAUACACCCA